This 235-nucleotide ribosomal RNA is filed under the name uncultured bacterium. Its description in RNAcentral is "partial 16S ribosomal RNA". It matches the Rfam family "Bacterial small subunit ribosomal RNA", at positions 104 to 334 of the family's 1533-position model. The record is from RNAcentral.
CGGGGUGGAGGUAACGCGUGGGUAACCGUGCCUUGUACAGGGGGAUAACAGUUGGAAACGGGUGCUAAUACCGCAUAAGCGCACGGCAUCGCAUGAUGCAGUGCGAAAAACUCCGGUGGUAUAAGAUGGACCCGCGUUGGAUUAGCUAGUUGGUGAGGUAACGGCCCACCAAGGCGACGAUCCAUAGCCGACCUGAGAGGGUGACCGGCCACAUUGGGACUGAGACACGGCCCAA